AGCACGGGAGCAAUCCUGGUGGCGAGUGGCGAACGGGUGAGUAAUGUAUCGGAACGUACCUUUCAGUGGGGGAUAACGUAGCGAAAGUUACGCUAAUACCGCAUAUUCUGUGAGCAGGAAAGCAGGGGAUCGCAAGACCUUGCGCUGAUUGAGCGGCCGAUAUCAGAUUAGCUAGUUGGUGAGGUAAAGGCUCACCAAGGCGACGAUCUGUAGCGGGUCUGAGAGGAUGAUCCGCCACACUGGAACUGAGACACGGUCCAGACUCCUACGGGAGGCAGCAGUGGGGAAUUUUGGACAAUGGGGGCAACCCUGAUCCAGCCAUGCCGCGUGAGUGAAGAAGGCCUUCGGGUUGUAAAGCUCUUUCAGCCGGGAAGAAAUCACAUGGGUUAAUACCCUGUGUGGAUGACGGUACCGGAAUAAGAAGCACCGGCUAACUACGUGCCAGCAGCCGCGGUAAUACGUAGGGUGCGAGCGUUAAUCGGAAUUACUGGGCGUAAAGCGUGCGCAGGCGGUUUGUUAAGAUAGGCGUGAAAUCCCCGGGCUCAACCUGGGAACUGCGUUUAUGACUGGCAGGCUAGAGUAUGGCAGAGGGGGGUGGAAUUCCACGUGUAGCAGUGAAAUGCGUAGAGAUGUGGAGGAACACCGAUGGCGAAGGCAGCCCCCUGGGCCAAUACUGACGCUCAUGCACGAAAGCGUGGGUAGCAAACAGGAUUAGAUACCCUGGUAGUCCACGCCCUAAACGAUGUCAACUAGGUGUUGGGUGGGUAAAACCAUUUAGUACCGGAGCUAACGCGUGAAGUUGACCG
RNAcentral lists this ribosomal RNA (806 nucleotides) under uncultured bacterium. Its description in RNAcentral is "bacterial SSU rRNA". It matches the Rfam family "Bacterial small subunit ribosomal RNA", at positions 71 to 871 of the family's 1533-position model. The record is from RNAcentral.